Molecule: ribosomal RNA, 579 nt
Filed under: Mantidactylus melanopleura
Lineage: Eukaryota; Metazoa; Chordata; Amphibia; Anura; Mantellidae
Description: partial 16S ribosomal RNA
Rfam family: Bacterial large subunit ribosomal RNA (bases 1-400)
Source: RNAcentral
ACCCCCGAAACUAAGUGAGCUACUUCGAGGCAGUUUUAAGAACGACCCCAUCUCUGUUGCAAAAGAGUGGGAUGACCUCCAAGUAGAGGCGACAAACCUACCGCACUUAGAGAUAGCUGGUUACUCAAGAAAAGAAUUUAAGUUCAACCUAAAGUUUUCUAAUUACACAAAAAUACAAUAAAACUUUAGAGCUACUCAAAUAAGGCACAGCUUAUUUGAAAUAGGACCCAACCUACAACAUCGGGUAAUAUAAACAAGCAAGUAACAAGUGGGCCUAAGAGCAGCCACCUACAAAAAGCGUUAAAGCUUAAUACUUAAACUGUAUUAAUACCACCACUACCCUAGAACCCCCCCACCAAUAUUGAGUAAUUCCAUAAACAUAUGGAAGCUAUUAUGCUAGAAUGAGUAACAAGAAAUAGCUUUUCUCCUAAAUGUAAGCUUAAGCCAUAAUAGACCAACUACCGGCAAUUAACGCAUAUGAAAACGCUACAGCAACCCAAACAAGAAAAUCCUGUAUCAACUCACGUUAACCUUACACCAGAACAUUUAAGGAAAGAUUAAAAGAAAAAGAAGGAACUC